RNAcentral lists this unclassified non-coding RNA (1743 nucleotides) under Centruroides sculpturatus (bark scorpion). RNAcentral's name for it is "gastrula zinc finger protein XlCGF49.1-like, transcript variant X1". The record is from RNAcentral. Lineage: Eukaryota; Metazoa; Arthropoda; Arachnida; Scorpiones; Buthidae.
UACAUAUUUUUUGUAAAUUAAUCUAUCUUUUCUUCUUUCAAUUGUUAGAUCUAAGUAAUUAAUGCUAUUCUGCUUCUUUAUUUUUAUUUCGAAUUAAUGUUUUCUGUUAUCUGGUUAGCCUUUUUAAAAAUUAUAUUUUAACUAAAAAACAUCUUUAUUAUAGAAACGACCGAAAAUACGAAAUAACAAACAAAAAAAAGGUGUUAAUUGUAGUUGUAACCAGAAGAAAACGUAUAUUGGGGAAACAAAAAGAAAACUAAAAGUAAGGUUAAAAGAACAUUCGUGCAAUCAAAGGGUAUUAUGCAAAUUCCGCGAUAGAGGAACAUUGUAAUUUAAAGGGAUGUGAAGUGGAUUAGAACGUAGUAAAAAUAAAGAAAAAAAGAGAAAAACAAUUAUAAAAGACAAUUGUACGAACACAUCUACAUAGUUAAACAAAAAUAUAGAUCAUGGAACAGCAUCAUCUAAUAGAGAGCGAGAGAGAAAAUGAAUAAAAGGAGAAAUCAAGUAGGGUUAAAUCCAAUGUUCAUUAUUUUUAAUUAAUUAAUAUUGAUUAAAAAGCGGGAAUAUGUUUGAAUUGCAGUAAAUAUUGUCGUUUUCGAGGAGAUCCUUAAAAACACAGGGAUUGCAAGUUUUAGAUUAUUUUAUUGUCAGGAAUUUUCAUGCUUUUUCUAAAUAAAUAAUUUUGUAACAACUUUAAAUUGAAAUGUUUAGAGAUUGUCGAUGGUAAACCAGCUGAUGAGGGACCAAUAGCAUCUAAACACUAAGAUAUCAUUUAUGUAUUCAGGUGAUAAAUAAAGACAGUUUUUCUGACUUUGUUUACUUAAUUUGCAGAACCAGUUAUCCAGUAUAAUAAGUCGUAUUAAUAGAUAUGUCCUAGAUGGCGUUUUAAGUUUAAAUUAAUUUCAGUACUCCUUAGUCACAUUGGUUAUUCGUCAAUAAACCUUUUUAUCAGUGAUUACCAAAAUAAGUUAAUAUAUUUGGCAAAUUAUUGCUAAUUUUAGCUUCACACUAACAGUUAGUUUCGUCUUCGAUAAUCAAUAGAAUCAAUACAAUUUAUUAAUCUAACAUAAUGAUCUACCAUUUUGAUUAAAGAUGAGAAUCUCUUUGCUGAUUAUAUUACAAGGAAAACACAGAAGGAAGAUUUCUUACGAAGCACAAGUCGAGAUUUCUCAGACAUUUCUUAUGUGGAAAGGAAUUUAAUGUGUGCAAAUUCAUAUACUUUAAUUAAUAAGGAAUAUUAACACGAAUCUCUUUCUUUUUCAGGUUUUCGAUGAAGGUUUACUUUUCUGGGGCAAAAUGUCUAAGAAUUUCCAGCAUUAUUAGUUUUAGUUUUAACAUUUUCAAUUUGAUUUAUAUAAUAAUGUUUAACCUCAUUCUCGUAUCUUGUUUUACAGAGCUUUUUGUUAUUUACAGAUCCAUUAUUCAACAAUUCAGAGAAUUUCUAGUAAGAGCUGAAGAAUGUGUUAAACUUUUGUUUACGGAAGACCAAAACUGAAACCAGUGAUAAGAAAUAAUACAAAAAUGCAUCAAAGGAGAAAGUAUAUUUCAUGCAAAGGACGAAAAGCAGAAAAUUAAAUGAAGAUGAUUAUCUAUAUAUUUUUGUUGCAAACAGCAUAUAAAUUGUGUAUAAAAAAUGUUUAAAUAAUCAGAAGUCAACGAAUCGGAAGUAUCGAUGUGACAGUUGCAAGAAAGAAUUCGCUUCGAAGUCCAAUUUAAAACGUCAUCAAAGGAUUCACACUGGAG